UGCAGCAGUUGGUGGAGGGUUCCUACCCAUCUGGAUCUCUCUUUUUCCUUCUCUCCUCCCUCCUCUGAGAGGGUGGCCCUGUCCUGGGGAGACAGCUUUCUUUUUGACCCUUGCCUGUUUUUGAUUAACCUCUGGGUUUCUGUUUUGGCAAUCUCCAGCUCUUACUUGCUCCAAAGGAUUAAAGUAAUUUUUUUGAUUAUUUUUUGGUUUAAGAAGAAAAAAAAAAUCCUAUUAUUUCAGGAACUGAAAGCUUUAAGAAUCUGGAUUAUUUUCUGUGGUUUUCAUUUCACUGCACCUAAUACCUGCUUUAAUGUGUUUCCUCUCAAGAGGCUCUUACUGGUUUACUUCUUGUCUUAGUUUCUGCUCACUCUAGUUCAAGGCCACUGCAGUGCAGAGGCAGAUUUCAUCCUUUCUCUGCACAUUAUCCUGUGCAUUCAGCAGGAAACAGAUUUUCUAAUUAAAUUCUGAGCUCAUUUAUUGAAGGAGCAGUCUCCUUCCUUUCAGAGAAAAGAGGGUGUUUAAGGUAGAGAGAGGAGACACCAGAGCUCUUUCAAGAGAGACUGGGGGAGGAGGGAAGGGAAAAAACCCCUUAUUCUUUGAAUGAAACAAACAAACACACCCUAAAUUCAGAGCAAAAUAUCCCCAGAGCAGCAAAUCGAGUCCAUGCUGAUGUGUGGAGACAACAGGAGCUUUUGCCAUGUAAAAGCCAAAAGAAGUGAAGAGAGGAUCUGUGUGCCCCAGCACAGUUUUAGCCUGUGCAUCGCUGCAGGGAGUUUCUGCUCACACAGACAGACUCCAAAUGCUCCUGGAAAGCCUGGCACCCCUGUCCUGGAGCACCUGAGGACAGAGUGUUGUCUGCUCACAGAGGAAUUCCUGCAACAUCUCGCCACAGAUGGAGAUGGACUUGGACUUUGUGACUUCUUCCAUGUUGAGACAGGAAACGCUCAGCACUCACCUUUGGCCAGUGCUUGAUGACAGGACUGAGAGAAGCAAGACGUUCCUGAAGUUUGGCUCUCCAAAGCUUCCCGAGGCUGGACACAUCUUGGGCAUCAUCUGCAUCCACCUCCAGACCAAAUAAACAGCGGGGAUGCAGCAGCAGGCGUGGCCCUGGGAUGCUCCUGGCACCGCCACAGCAGUGACAUGUGGCCCUGGUGGCUCGGAAGGCCUUUGCUGUGACUCCUUCCAAGAGGCUGAAGUGACUCACUCAGAUCCUCCUCUGAGAAGGAAUCACUUCACAUCAUGCAGCAUUUGGGAGGAAAGCCACAGAAAAAAGCUGCAAAACGAAGGCCUCAACAUCAGACCUGCUCUCAGGACCCUCAGCCACCAACAGCCAGAUCCACCACCUGAAGGAAAGACUGGCACAGCAAUCCCUGCUGCUGUUGCUGAGAUUCCUUCUCUGUGUCCAAGAGCUCUCCCAGGGGAGAAGAAAGUGCUGCAGGAAGACAGAGGGCAAACCAUGCACCAAAGAGCCUCCCAUGCAGUGCAAUGCAAACAUUCAAGGUGCUGAGAGCCAGAAUGAAACUGGGAAGCUGCUUCCAGCAGGACAAAGAAAAGCCUGAGCUGGUCCAGGUACUCCAAGUGCUGAGAAUGGAAAGAGAGGCCAGAACAGAAGAACCAAGUCCAGGCUUUGGGGACAGCAGGGAUGCUGACUGUCUGUGGAGAGGAUUCUGCACACCUCUGCAGUCUGGGGCCGCUGGGACUCACCUAAAGAAAUCUUCACUAGAAAAUGAUCCUCACUGAAAAAAAAACCAAAACAACAAACUUUCCUGAUUAACUUUGCCAGGGGGCUGAUCCUGCCUUGGCUACGAACCCUCCCUGCUGGCCGUGCUGUAACUCACCUCUCCUGAGUCCUUUCAUGCGGGUAUCAGUUCCAAACCUCAAAGGGCUCCCGGAGUUUGGAGAAGCAUCCCACGGUCCAGAUGCUUGUCUGAACUGUUGGAGCCUGCACAUCUGGGCCAGCUGUCUUGCCAGCAAGGAGCCUUGUGAGACAGCAGGCGCUCUCUGGGUCUGCAUGGGCCAGAGUUACUGCAAGAACCGGGGUUCUUGUGCUGGCUUUGGA
Agelaius phoeniceus (red-winged blackbird) is the source of this 2059-nucleotide non-coding RNA. The record is from RefSeq and is a predicted model, not a curated record. NCBI's taxonomy places the organism in Eukaryota, Metazoa, Chordata, Aves, Passeriformes, Icteridae.